GUGGGGAAUAUUGGACAAUGGGCGCAAGCCUGAUCCAGCCAUGCCGCGUGAGUGAUGAAGGCCCUAGGGUUGUAAAGCUCUUUCACCGGUGAAGAUAAUGACGGUAACCGGAGAAGAAGCCCCGGCUAACUUCGUGCCAGCAGCCGCGGUAAUACGAAGGGGGCUAGCGUUGUUCGGAAUUACUGGGCGUAAAGCGCACGUAGGCGGAUUGUUAAGUGAGGGGUGAAAUCCCAGGGCUCAACCCUGGAACUGCCUUUCAUACUGGCAAUCUAGAGUCCAGAAGAGGUGAGUGGAAUUCCGAGUGUAGAGGUGAAAUUCGUAGAUAUUCGGAGGAACACCAGUGGCGAAGGCGGCUCACUGGUCUGGAACUGACGCUGAGGUGCGAAAGCGUGGGGAGCAAACAGG
Molecule: ribosomal RNA, 405 nt
Filed under: uncultured bacterium
Lineage: Bacteria
Description: bacterial SSU rRNA
Rfam family: Bacterial small subunit ribosomal RNA
Source: RNAcentral